Molecule: ribosomal RNA, 1567 nt
Filed under: Micractinium variabile
Lineage: Eukaryota; Viridiplantae; Chlorophyta; Trebouxiophyceae; Chlorellales; Chlorellaceae
Description: large subunit ribosomal RNA
Source: RNAcentral
UCUCUAAAGAGAACGCCAAGAUAUCCAUUAACUUGGUAAGGAGAUGAAUGGCCGUCACUAAAUUUUACAUCAAUGAAUUUUUUUACAUUGUACCCAUCAAGACCAAGCUGUCGCUCUUCUUUUAGGGGCCGAUUCACUCUACACCGAGAUACGGUCUGUAGAAAACCUAGGACUUUCGGCUAUCAUGAUUUUCACAUGAUUUGUCGUUACUCAUGUCAGCAUUCUCACUUCUGAUAUCUCUACUUCAUUUUACAAUGAAGCGUCGUUGACUUACAGAACGUUCUGCUACCUUUUCAAUCGACACACUUUCAAUUCGCGACAAAAACAAUGUUUUUGUCAAUGAAUGAGUUGACUCUGAUUGAAAAUCGCCGCUUCGGUGAAAUUCUUGAGCUCCGAUACAUUUUAGGUGCUACUAGACAUAGACCAGUGAGCUAUUACGCUUUCUUAAAAGGAUGGCUGCUUCCAAGCCUACCUCCUGGUUGUCUUCGCCUAGUAACUUCCUUUACCACUCAGAAUUUGCUUUGGAACCUUAGCGUUCGAUCUGGGUUGUUUCCCUUUCGACUUGAGACCUUAGCGCCUCAAGUCUGUCUGUAUCGCGAAUAAAAAGGUAUUCGGAGUUUCCCUGGGAUCAGUAAGGCUUUGGGCCACCAUCACCCAAUGAGUGCUCUACCUCCUUUUUACCUUGCUAACCAAAUAAUUUUAUUUGGCUCCGAUACGCUCUACCUCAAUAGAUUUCGCAGAAAACCAGCUAUUUCCAAGCUCGAUUGGCUUUUCACCCCAUAAUCACAAGUCAUCCCCAUCUAUUGCCACAGAUGUGGGUUCGGUCCUCCAAAACGUAUUAUCAUUUUUUCAACCUGCUCAUGAUUAGAUCGCUUGGUUUCGGGUCAAAUUUAUGGAACUUCGCAGGUUUUUUUUUCUCCAAAGAAGAAAAAGUUUACCUUAUUUGCUCUUUUCAAGCUUGCUUUCACUCCGCCUCCACUUAUGAGCUUAGGCUUGCUCCAUAAAUUUACUCGCUGACCCAUUAUGCAAAAGGUACGCCGUUACUCUUAAAAAAAGCUUCGACUGCUUGUAAGCAUUCAGUUUCAGGAUCUUUUUCACUGCUUUGUUUAACGCUCUGUUUCACCUUUCCCUCACGGUACUAGUUCACUAUCGAUCAGAAGAAUAUAUUUAGGCUUAGAGGGUGGUCCCCCUUGAGAAGAUUUAAAAAAAAUAAAUCUUCAAUUCAAACAAAGGUGAUCUUCGUUUUACUCAUUUUUUUUCAUUUUUUUUGUUUUUUUUUGGGUGUCUACAGGGCUAUCACCUUCUUUGGCUUGUUGUUCCAAACAAAUUUAACCCCAAAAAAAAGAAAGAAAUGAAGGCCUACUCCGCAUUCGCUCACCACUACUAACGGAAUCUCGGUUGAUUUUUUUUCCUCUAGUUACUUAGAUGUUUCAGUUCACUAGGUAAUUGAUAAUCAUAGAGUUUUCUUAAGGAAAUCCAGAGAUUUAUGGAUUGACGCACCUAUCUCUGGCGUUUCGUUGCGUUUAACGUCCCUUCUCUUCUUCUGUCUAGGCAUCCACUAAAUGCU